RNAcentral lists this small RNA (730 nucleotides) under Racomitrium didymum. RNAcentral's name for it is "eukaryotic LSU rRNA". The stretch from base 304 to 456 matches the Rfam family "5.8S ribosomal RNA". Lineage: Eukaryota; Viridiplantae; Streptophyta; Bryopsida; Grimmiales; Grimmiaceae. The record is from RNAcentral.
CAUUGCACACACAAAGUUGCAGCAAACCCCUUGCGAAUUGUAGCAUUGUCUCGGUCGGUUCCCCUCUUCCUUUCCUUUCCUUCGGUUUGGUUUGGUUUUGGGGCCAAGCCCAAGUUCCCGCCCCCGGGCCGGACCCGGGAGGGGCCCGCUCCUCCCGCGUUCCGGUUUUGGCUGGGUUCUGGGGACUUGGUGAUGGCGCAAUGCAUCAACACUUUCCAUAUGACUGAGUAUAAGAAACCGGGGCUCAUGCGGCCCUUCCUUCGGGAUGGUGCGCGCGUGUGGAGUUGUGUGAUAAAACAAAACAACUCUCAGCAACGGAUAUCUUGGCUCCUGCAACGAUGAAGAACGCAGCGAAAUGCGAUACGUAGUGUGAAUUGCAGAAUUCCGCGAAUCAUCGAGUCUUUGAACGCAAGUUGCGCCCGAGGCUUGCCCUCUGGCAUUUCUGCUAGAGCGUCACCGCGACACCCACCGACCACUCCUUGUUGAGUUGGGGGGUCGAGUGAAACUGGCCGUCCCGGCGGAUGGGGGCUCUGGGUCAAGCCCGCCUCCAAUGGCCGGGUCGGCUGAAAUGGAGGGAAUUUGGCCGCCGUGGUGACACAGCCGGCGAUCGGGUGAUCCAAGUCCUCUUGGAACUCAAUGUGCGUCGGCCCGUGUCCCCCAGUUGGUACCGAGGAUUCCAAAGCAGGUCUCGAGAAGUCGAAGUCGAAGGGGAAAACCGUCACGCAUCAGA